This 464-nucleotide ribosomal RNA is filed under the name uncultured bacterium. Its description in RNAcentral is "bacterial SSU rRNA". It matches the Rfam family "Bacterial small subunit ribosomal RNA", at positions 331 to 792 of the family's 1533-position model. The record is from RNAcentral.
CCAGACUCCUACGGGAGGCAGCAGUGAGGAAUAUUGGUCAAUGGGCGGGAGCCUGAACCAGCCAAGUCGCGUGAGGGAAGACGGUCCUACGGAUUGUAAACCUCUUUUGCCGGGGAGCAAGGGCGGGGACGUGUCCCGGCCCGGAGAGUACCCGGAGAAAAAGCAUCGGCUAACUCCGUGCCCACAGCCGCGGUAAUACGGAGGAUGCGAGCGUUAUCCGGAUUUAUUGGGUUUAAAGGGUGCGUAGGCGGGUUUUUAAGUCAGCGGUAAAACUUCGGGGCUCAACCCCGUCCGGCCGUUGAAACUGGGGGCCUGGAGUGGGCAAGAAGAAGGCGGAAUGCGUGGUGUAGCGGUGAAAUGCAUAGAUAUCGCGCAGACCUCCGAUUGCGAAGGCAGCAUGCCGGCUCCACACUGACGCUGAGGCACGAAAGCGUGGGUAUCGAACAGGAUUAGAUACCCCAGUA